CCUACGGGGGGCUGCAGUCGAGAAUCUUCCACAAUGGACGAAAGUCUGAUGGAGCGACGCCGCGUGAGUGAUGAAGGCCCUACGGGUUGUAAAACUCUGUCAGGAGAGAAGAAUCGCCGGGGUGCCAAUACCACCCUGGUCUGACGUUAUCUCCAGAGGAAGCUCCGGCUAACUCCGUGCCAGCAGCCGCGGUAAUACGGGGGGAGCAAGCGUUGUCCGGAAUUAUUGGGCGUAAAGGGCGUGUAGGCGGCCUGGUCAGUCGAAUGUGAAAUCCCACGGCUCAACCGUGGAACUGCGUUCGAUACUGCCUGGCUUGAGUAUGUGAGAGGUGUGCGGAAUUCCUGGUGUAGCGGUGGAAUGCGUAGAUAUCAGGAAGAACACCGAUGGCGAAGGCAGCACACUGGCGCAAUACUGACGCUGAGGCGCGAAAGCGUGGGGAGCAAACAGGCUUAGAUACCCUAGUAGUC
RNAcentral lists this ribosomal RNA (467 nucleotides) under uncultured bacterium. RNAcentral's name for it is "bacterial SSU rRNA". It matches the Rfam family "Bacterial small subunit ribosomal RNA", at positions 338 to 795 of the family's 1533-position model. The record is from RNAcentral.